RNAcentral lists this ribosomal RNA (1347 nucleotides) under metagenome. Its description in RNAcentral is "bacterial LSU rRNA". It matches the Rfam family "Bacterial large subunit ribosomal RNA", at positions 1563 to 2925 of the family's 2925-position model. The record is from RNAcentral.
UAGGUAAGCGAAAUCUUAGGAAAGUAGCGAAGCACAUGAUGACGGCUUCCAGGAAAAGCUUCUGGCAAUGCAUAUGCGGCCCGUACCAAAACCGACACAGGUGGGCAGGGAGAGAAUCCCGAGGUGAGCGAGAGAACUGUUGCCAAGGAACUCGGCAAAAUGACUCCGUAAGUUAGCGAGAAGGAGUGCUUAAGCAAUUAAGCCGCAGUGAAGAGGCCCAAGCGACUGUUUAACUAAAACACAGCUCUCUGCGAAGUCGCAAGACGAAGUAUAGGGGGUGACACCUGCCCGGUGCUGGAAGGUUAAGAGGAUCUGUUAAGAGCGAUCUGAAGCAGUGAUCCGAAGCCCCAGUGAACGGCGGCCGUAACAAUAACGGUCCUAAGGUAGCGAAAUUCCUUGUCAGGUAAGAUCUGACCCGCACGAAAGGUGUAACGAUUUGGGCGCUGUCUCGGCAGCAGACUCGGUGAAAUCUUAGUACCUGUGAAAAUGCAGGUUACCCGCAACUAGACGGAAAGACCCCAUGGAGCUUUACUGCAGCCUGAUAUUGAAUUCUGGUCAUACAUGUACAGGAUAGGUGGGAGACAAAGAGACGUGCACGCCAGUGUACGAGGAGUCGACGUUGGGAUACCACUCUUGUGUGACUGGGGUUCUAACCUGGUAUCGAGAACAGGUACGGGGAGAGUGUCAGGUGGGCAGUUUGACUGGGGCGGUCGCCUCCCAAAGAGUAACGGAGGCGCCCAAAGGUACGCUCAGAUUGGAUGGAAACCAACCGUCGAGUGCAAUUGCAGAAGCGUGCUUGACUGUGAGACAGACAAGUCGAACAGGGACGAAAGUCGGGAAUAGUGAUCCGGCGGUGCCGAAUGGAAGGGCCGUCGCUCAACGGAUAAAAGCUACCCUGGGGAUAACAGGCUGAUCUCGCCCAAGAGUUCACAUCGACGGCGAGGUUUGGCACCUCGAUGUCGGCUCAUCGCAUCCUGGAGCUGGAUUCGGUUCCAAGGGUUGGGCUGUCCGCCCAUUAAAGCGGUACGCGAGCUGGGUUCAGAACGUCGUGAGACAGUUCGGUCCCUAUCUGUUGUGGGCGAAGGAGAUCUGCGGAGAGCUGUCCUCAGUACGAGGGGACCGGGAUGGACCUACCGCUGGUGCACCGGUUGUUCCGCCAGGGGCAUAGCCGGGUAGCUAAGUAGGGAAAGGAUAAGCGCUGAAAGCAUCUAAGCACGAAGCCUACUCCAAGAUGAGAUCUUCCAUUCGCAAGAAGUAGACCCCUUAAAGACGAUAAGGUAGAUAGGCCAGGGAUGGAAGUGCAGUGAUGUACGGAGUUGACUGGUACUAAUCGGUCGAGGACUUAAU